This 72-nucleotide transfer RNA is filed under the name Loxodonta africana (African savanna elephant). It matches the Rfam family "tRNA". From Rfam's summary of the family: Transfer RNA (tRNA) molecules are approximately 80 nucleotides in length. The record is from Rfam by way of RNAcentral. Lineage: Eukaryota; Metazoa; Chordata; Mammalia; Proboscidea; Elephantidae.
CUCUGGGUAACCCAAAUAGUUAAUGUGUUUGGCUGCUAACCAAAAGGUUGGUGGUUAGAGUCUACCCAGAGG